GUCACAUCUGCUCAGAAUCCCAGUCUAGCUGACUGCUGGGGCAGGAUGCGGGCCCCAGCACUGCUUCUGGUUGUCUUGGCUCCUGUCAUGCAGGUAUCUUCCAACUUGAUGUUAAUCACUAGCAAGACUGGGGAGACUGCUUCGUUCCCUUGUGAUCUUACACGAAGGGCCACCUAUAUCCACUUGUACAAACAUGAGGAGGGGAUGGCCCCCCGACGCCUUUUAUACUACCACAGCUACAACUCAAAGCCUGUGCUUGAAUCAGGAAUCAGUGGAACAAAAUACCAUGUCUAUAAGGGCACAGGGAGGAGCUAUACAUUUGCAAUCCAAAAUCUGCAAGCAAGUGAUUCCGGCAUAUACUACUGUGCUAUCUGGGAUAGGAAUAAUUACAUAAAAAACUUCAAUGUUGGAGCAAAACUCAUUGUCACAGAGAGAAACCUUGCUGCAGACACUUCCCCCAAGCCCACUGUUUUUCUUCCUUCAAUUGCUGAAAUCAACCAUGAUAAUGCUGGAACAUAUCUUUGUCUCCUGGAGAACUUUUUCCCUGAUGUUAUUACAGUGUCUUGGAGAGUAAAAAAUGACAAAAGAGCUCUGCCAUCCCAGCAGGGAAACACCAUGAAGACCAAGGACACAUACAUGAAGCUCAGCUGGCCUGACCUUCUCCUAGGUGCCCUGCAGCUGCAGCUCACGACCACCUCUGCCUAUUACACCUACCUCUUACUCCUCCUCCUGAGCGCAGUCUACUUUGUUGUCAUCAUUUCCUGUGUGUUUAGGAGAACAGGCGUCUGCUGUGACGGGAAGAUCUCGUGACGGGGGGUGGCUACCGAGAGGUCAACUUUCCUUCGCCAUCUACAGUCCCAGAAAUUCUCUGCUUGCCUUUUGGUUUGGGUUAUCUCAGUUCAGAUGUGUAUUUAUCUCUGAUGUCAUAAUUGUCCCACCCCCAAGUCCUUUCAACUCCUGAGCGCACACUGUGGGCAGCUCCCUGUCUCCUCCCUCAGCACCUCCACCCAGACCACAACCCUGACCCUCCCUGUCACACACCCUGGAGAAGUCAGCUUUGCUGCUCGAAUUCUGUACUUAGAUUUUCAUAACAUGCACAAUAAAUACAAAAGAAU
Molecule: non-coding RNA, 1115 nt
Organism: Capra hircus (goat)
Lineage: Eukaryota; Metazoa; Chordata; Mammalia; Artiodactyla; Bovidae
Source: the annotation of a RefSeq genome assembly